Molecule: ribosomal RNA, 228 nt
Filed under: uncultured bacterium
Lineage: Bacteria
Description: partial 16S ribosomal RNA
Rfam family: Bacterial small subunit ribosomal RNA
Source: RNAcentral
GAUGAACGCUGGCGGCGUGCCUAAGACAUGCAAGUCGAAUGUCCCGCAAGGGACAUGGCGAACGGGUGAGUAAUACCUAGGAACAUCCUUGUAGUGAGGGAUAACCAGCCGAAAGGUUGGAUAAUACCACAUGUGGUCGUAAGACCAAAGCAGCAAUGCGCUACAAGCGUGGCCUGGGCACCAUCAGCUAGUUGGUAAGGUAAUGGCUUACCAAGGCUAUGACGGUUA